UGGGGAAUAUUGGACAAUGGGCGCAAGCCUGAUCCAGCAACGCCGCGUGGAGGACGAAGGUCUUCGGAUCGUAAACUCCUGUCAGGCGGGACGAAGGCUUCCGGGCAAAUAGUCUGGAAGCUUGACGGUACUGCCAGAGGAAGCCCCGGCUAACUCCGUGCCAGCAGCCGCGGUAAUACGGAGGGGGCUAGCGUUAUUCGGAAUUAUUGGGCGUAAAGAGCUCGUAGGCGGCCUGUCGCGUCUGCUGUGAAAGCCCGGGGCUUAACUCCGGGUCUGCAGUGGAUACGGGCAGGCUAGAGGCCGGUAGGGGAAAGUGGAAUUCCUGGUGUAGCGGUGAAAUGCGCAGAUAUCAGGAGGAACACCGGUGGCGAAGGCGGCUUUCUGGGCCGGGCCUGACGCUGAGGAGCGAAAGCGUGGGGAGCGAA
Molecule: ribosomal RNA, 425 nt
Filed under: uncultured bacterium
Lineage: Bacteria
Description: bacterial SSU rRNA
Rfam family: Bacterial small subunit ribosomal RNA
Source: RNAcentral